CAUAGAAAGGAAUUGCUUGGUUCUACCUUAGGAUGAGGGUUAGGAAACAGAUUGUUAGGCCCCUCAAAGGAAAGACUGGGAGCAGAGUAGAAUAUGUCCCACCACUUCACUAUUCCUUGGAACAGCACGGAGUAAGAGAUCCUCUCAGUUGGCACUAUAGCUUAGUCCCAAAUCAUACUGUAUGCAGAUUGUACCCAAUUCCAGAACCACACUUUGCCUGAAAGAGGGCAAAUGUUUUAGGCUUAUGUUCACAAGUAUUUCCUUCAUGUAGGAGCCAAUAAAUGUGUUGGAAGUCUGUAAAAACACUUUUUUUCUCAUAUUUAUGACAAAGAUGAGUAAUUAUACUCAAGUUUAUGGCCCCAGUUUGGGGGUAAAUUUUUAGGAAUAUUCCAGUUCUAUGUAUCUUUAGUGACAGCCAGGAAGUAUGCACGUGUGUGUGUGUGCACAUGCACACACACACACACACACACACACACACCACCUAUGGCAUUUGGAAGGUGCCAGUCUGUUACUCACCCAAGAUUAUUUCAGCUAAAAUAAUGGAAGCAGAAGGAAACAGUUUUCAGAAGACACAGGUAAACCAAAAGGAAUCUACCACUUUGGGAAUGUGAAGAAAGGUUAUUGAAAUUACACAGACAGUCUGCAAUAUUUUUCAUGAAUAACCCAUGAGAAAACUAAAAAUAGGACAGCACUCCAUAAUGCUAAGUAUUUAUGAGGCAAUAGAACAUGUACGUAGAUGGCUUAUUGGGGACAUCCUAGGCUGUCUGAAUGCUUAUCUCAUUAAGGGAGGUACUUGAGAUCUGUAGAUACAUAGAUGGGGUGGGUAGCUCCCAUUGAAUUGUAUAAUUUAUGUUUUGCACUUAAUAUAGAAUCCCUAGUCUAAAUCUCUUAGAAAGACUGCAGAAAUUCUGUCUCAUCACCAUCUAUAAAACUACCUAUGGCCAGUAUAACCAUUUAGACAGGUGACAGGCAUGUGACAUAAAUUAAACAAUAAAAUAGCUCAUUUCCUCAAAUGUUUUAUGUCUCAUAAAGGCAAAUCUGUAGCCCAGCUGAUGGUGAACAUUUUUUUAUUGGAGCCAUCUUUUAAAAAUCAGAUUGAAACAUUUAAAAACUGGGAUAUCAUUUAAAUUUCCAACUUCUCUCGAGAAAUAGGAUGACCCACCAAUGUCCGGCUUGUGUUCUUGCAUGGCUGCAAUUAGUUGGAGUUGAAUAGCAACUCCCAUUUUUAUCUGAGGAUAUAAUUUUGGUUUUAAGUUAAAGGUAGAGGCAGGGGAAUAAACAUACUAUCAGGGGAAAAAUAAAUGUCUUCUUUGUGAAUGCAAAUUGCUUCUGGUCCUCAUUCAUAAUAAGAGUUGGAAAAAUGUAUCUAAUAGAUGAGUAUCCAGACACCAUUUGGCUAAGAUUGCAUUAAUUUGAUAUAGUAAAUGUAUAUCUGGCACUACAGCUACAACUUGUUGAAUUGAAUUUUUAGUUACCUACUCUUAUGUUCCAGUAUUCAUUUGGGUUUCAUAGGAGAAAUUCAUGGCUAGAAGAUGGGAGAAGGAAUGUUUUUCAGCUUUCCACUUGGCUUGCCCACUGGAGUAGACCUUAACCCAGAAAACAUAGAAAUAGUGUAUAGCUUCUAACAAUGACCAAGUAUGUGUGUCCCAAUAUUACAUUCAGGGGCUGGGAAAUGACCACAAAGCAGUGGAAUCAUAGAAAGCAGAAUAUAAGCCAAAACUCCAUUUAUUACAUGGUCUCCACUUAAUCCCACUCUAACAGGGGUUCUUGAUGGCAUAUUGGACUCUAUCCAACAGUUCUUGAAAUGUGUAUACAUUUCUUUUUAUCCAACAAACAGUUAUUUAACUAAAUAUCCAGAAAUCCAUUCCUGAAAGGAAUGAUUAUCAAGUACCUUUGCCAUAGUGUCAUGGGACCCUUUCUGCUUGGGACAUGGUCUUUCUAUCUGUUAAUAUAUUUUUGGGUCUGAGAAUAGCACUCAUCUGGAUAUUGGGUAAGAGACUCCAAAUUUUUCUUGCCGCAUCUGCCCUUAGCUUCUAGUGCAUCCGUCCUUGAUAUAGCGUCACUAUAUAAUUUGAGCGAGACCUUAAUGGGCUACCCAUCUAUCUUGACAUUGGAAAUACCAUAUUUUGCUUGUGAACCUAAUGGCUUUCUGCAGGUCAGCCUCCUUGAUUAUAACUUUGACAUUAUUACUAAUUAUGAUAAUUUUGUGCACCUUACAUUUUUCAGUUAAGUGCAGCCACCUGGAUUCUCUCAUACUCACUGUUACCAAGGAGCCCAGCUCUUUAGCAGAAUCUCUUACUUCCCUAGUCUACCAAGGACAGCUAUCACUUAGCUUUUAAAGAAGCUCUCAGUGGCAUGUUUCUUAUCACUUUGGUAAAAGGAUUGUUGUUCUGGCUCCUGCACAAAGUGUUAUUGACUUGUGAGUUUUCUGGCCUUAUAUGGUAUAUACUCUAAAUCACUGCUUUCACCAUCUGUAACAUCUCUACAUUAAGAAUAGGCUAUUGCUUUGUCCAAGAUACCAGGAGCUAUCUGAGCAGUCUAUUUGGACUGUCUUUUGAGGCUCUUGGUAAAGUGUGAAUCCUGUAUUAUAGGAGAGUGUUCACACACUGGUAAACUCCUCAUUUUCUAACUUCACCUCCUCUUCUUUUUGAUACCAAGUCUUUAGGAUUCCACUCCAUUUAAACUCUUUUGACCCCCACCAGUACAUGUUGGCUAGACAUUGAAGCUUCAUAUAUAUAUAUGCUCAGCAGAUCCAGAACUUCCUCAGCUAUUUUAUUCUGUAAUUCUUCUCAUGAUUUAGUUAGCCGCCAAGAAGAAAGAUAAAGGAGAUCAUGAGGAGUUGUUUGUUAUUUUGCAAAGCAAAAUAUUCUGCACGUCCUUCAAGCAAAAAAUGAGGAGGGGUGUCUGGCCUUUCAGAGGAGAGACAACCAUUUAUGAAUGGCUAGAGAGUUCAAGACAAAAUGAAGGAAUAUAAGGAUUCAAGAUUUUCCAAAAUAUCCUCUAACCUACUCUUACUGUAAGCCUCAAUUUCCCAUUUCAUCCUGAUGAGAGCCUUGCCCUACUAUAGCAGACAUGCUGGUGUUCAAAAUUCAUUCUCUCAUUCUUCCUGGAUAUGAGCCUCAGCCCUUUCUCUCCUCUAGCUGUAGGAGGUGAAAGUCUCUUCACACUAUGAAAGGAACCUUCGGAUUCUCACACUUCAUCUGAUAUUGGUGAUACGCACCCUUAGGCUUUCAAAAUUCUAUUAGUGGAAUUUUGAGCAAUUGGAACCACAAUUGAGUGCCAGUGAUGAGGUUUUCUCUCACUUUGGAAUUAGGUGAUCUGGCUCCUAAAUCCCAUCUUAUAGUUGUGUUCCAAGAACUAUGGUUGGCAGGGGCCAUAUCUCAGGUUGGCUUCACAACAGACAAACUCCAGUACUUUGAUAUUUGCACUCAGGAGGUUUACUAAGGAAGGCUUUGAAUGACAGUGUCUGUAGUGAGUCACUGGAUUGGGCAGGGGAGAGCUGAUUCAUGAUGCAGUUGCAGGAGAGGCCUUGACAGUUGCUGGGGUGAGAUCUAGAUCUGUGCUGCUCCUUGUAGUUGUCCUAGUGGAGUACAGAUCCUUUAUACUUCUGCACCACUGGGCAUUGCACACAGAUGCCCCGUAGAAGGCUAAUCUUUGGUGAAGUGUCUUCUUUUAGCCUUGAUCAAUUCCUGAAGGGGAACUCAGUUUUGAACAAUCAAUGAUCUACACUCAGUACAGCCAGAAGAAUGGUCUUGGUCAGUGCCUUGGUCUUGAAGGAGUAUUUGGGAACUAGACUACCUGGUAUACCACAGUUCUCAAUGGAGAUUUGUUUGAUUGCCUAAUCCUUUUGUGAUUAUAGGUCUUUUGAUGGUAGAUUCUUUUCCUAAUUCUUUUUGGAUUGCUAUACAGCAAUUAUCAUAGCACUUGCCAUAAAAUAAUUGUUGGAUCAAUAGGAAUGAAUAAAUAAGUGAAGAAAUGAAAUUUAGGACUAUUAUCUUUCAGUGGCCACACUAAGCCCUAAUUAAUACAUUGGCGGUUUCAACUAUAAUACUUCUGCAUUGGGAUUUUUCCCAAAAUGUGUCUUUCCUACACCGGAUGAUGCAGAUUUAGUUACUACUUGUGUGUACCAAUGACUGAAAGGGCUACCUUGAAAUGUGGUGGUAUGGGUGGGCAAUAGUUAAACCCAAUUUAAUUGCUGUUCUCUUUAACCAUGACCUAGAACCCAUUAGCACCUGGCUGAUGUUGAUUCAUUGGCAUGCACUGCCACAGACAGAGGCUACAUCUUGUCUGCUGUGGAAAUGCCUGUUAGCUUCACUAUAAAUACUUAAGAGAAUAGCAGAAAUGUUUAAAAAUUCUUUCUUGGAAACAGAUUAUUGAUAAUUCUAUUUCCUUUCCAAAUACGUAGUUUGUCACCACAAUUAAUUCUUCAUUAAACAAUGUUAACCUUCUACUCGGGAGAAAUAAUUGUACCCUUUCUUUAGGUGCAAUUAUCCUGAUGAAAGUAAUUAGUCAAUACAGCUACUUAAGAAGGAGCUUUGCAUUUGGAAGGGAUUCAGCUGAUAUGUAUCAUGUGGUUGGGAUUUAGCUUGGCACUGUAUUGAACUUGGCAAUAUGCACAACCUCACUGAGGGCUCCUUAGCUGUUCUUUUUUUGUUUUGGUAAUAGUGAUGUCCAGGGACACUCAGGAUAAAAAAUUAAAUGCACUAAGAGUCAAAGCAUACCUGCUAUGCUGACAAAAUUAUUUAUUUUUAAAAUAAUGAAAAUGUACAUAAAAAGUAGGAUUCUAAUUUUGUUUUACUCUCUUCUGUUUGCCAACUUACUCGUUCUUUCGAUAAUGUAUAACUACAUAAAUCUAAUCCCCUAUCAUGUACUGUGCAUUUUGAGUUUGAAUUUUGCUAAAACAAAUGCAGGGAAACAAUUCUUUAUUUGCCUGAAAUCUGAAGCAGUUUAUGAAGGUAAAUCAUUAUUUUUCAAAUAUAAAACUUUUGAAAUUAUCCCCAGACCCAUAUCUUUAGUAAAGAAAUUAAUUCAAAGACCCUAAUCUCUAUUACUCAAUUUUCUAGGGCAACAGUAAUGUUUUAUAUAUUGAUGGAGAUUUGGGCUACAUAGGUGUUGGAAAUUGUCAAAAUUCAGUGACUGAUCCCUUUUACAUCAAAGAAAAAGACUUGAAACCAAUAUUGAAUUCUAACCAUAUGUUUACUGAAGUAUUUAUGGAGAAGAGUACUGAUGUCUACAAUUUAACUUGAAAUGUGUAAAAAAUAAAAUGGCUUGAUGGAUGGAGGAUGGAUAGAUGAAGUAUUAUGUGAUAAAAUGAGUAGAAUAAAAUCUUCAUGGCAGAAUUUAAGUCACAAAGAUAGGAGUUUUCCAUGUAAAAUUUAAACUUUUCUAUUAUUAAAAUUUUUUUCUAAUAAUAUGUAAAAAUAAUUGCCAUUGGAACUCCUCUUGCAGUGCCAUUGAGGCACUCUUUGAUCAAAAUGGGCUGAUAAUUCAGUCUCUCCAAUUAUUUUUGUCACACAUUCUGGCAAAGUGUGGUGCUAGAUAAUGGAAUUUCUUUGAAACUCCAUGCUUAGGAGUCCUCUUCUACCUGUGAACUGGGGCUAAUAACACUAAUUUUAGCAAGAAGAGUAAAACCCAGUAUACCCAAGCACUUUGGAUGGAAUUACUCAUCUACUUAUCUAUUCUUCCAUGAACCCACCCUCCAAUCAACUGCUUUUGGUCUAUUAUGACUCCUCCAUUUCUCUCUUUGACGAAAGGGAUUUUAAAUGUUAUGACAGCAAAAUUCCUAAAUCAAGAAACUUACAAUGUCAUGGGGAUCUUGACAUCAAGUCCCUAUUUCUACAAGUUCCACUCUGACUUUGUUUAUUCAUUCUGUCAGACAAAAUCACUUCAAAAUCACUGAUGUGAUGUAAGAUUAUGAAAAUAUACUUGCCUGCAUCAGGAGCACUUAAAAAGUUAUACUUUGAUUUUCUUGGUUAUAGCCAAAGCCACAAAAUAUUCCAGUCAUGAGUAAAGAAGCAAGGCUUUACUUUGGGAAACUUUAGAAGAAAUCUAACAAAGCUUUCCCCAACUGGAGUAAAUUAUUAAAUACUUAAAAGUGUUUAGUAGCAUAUAAAAUUCAACCAAGUUCUAUGAAAGUCAUGAGGCUAAAUCGAAUGUUAGUGUAGAAGAGUCCCAACAGAAUGCAUCUCACCCAAGUCCUACAAGUCCCUGUCAAGGGAGUCACUGCUCCCUUUAGGCUGUCUCCUUUUUUAUUGGUUUUAAUUAAUUUUUACAGAAUAAAUUAGUUCACCAUAUUUAAAUCACAUUUGCACACACAAAUGAAAAGUUCUUUUUUCUUCCUUCCAAAUCAGUCCUUUGUUGUGGAAAUAAUUUAUGCAAUGCAACUACUUCUGAGUGAAACUCCGGUCCAUUAAAACGUCCAGUGUACUAGGAGGAGGAAAGAUAGAUAAGAAUACCAAGGAGGAAAAAGUAAAGCAGAAGUAAAAAGGACGUUUUAGAGGAAGCAAGUGGAGAAUAGAGAAGAGAAAAACCAGGGAACAUAGAUGAAGCCAGCUGGCUAUAUAAAUGAGUGCCCUUAGUUGGGACCAAAUGCUGAAAGCUUGCUGCAGGCACCAAAGAAGGCUCCAGUUCUCUGUACCUCCAUUUCAUCUGCAGUGAAUUGCUAGUUGAAAGUCUUCAUACCCCAUUGUUUGGCAUUAGAAACAGAAAUGCAAGGUGCUCUGCAAUCUUUAGAAUCAAUGAUCCAAACCCUUUAUUCUCAGCUCUUCUGCACUAUUACAAAAGGAAGAUUUUCUGUAACUUAUUUUGACUUUAGCAUUAAGGUUCUUGGAUAUUUUCCUUUACCUGCCUUUAUCUCAAUUUAGUCAUAUAAUCAAAAACAAAGAAAAAAUUAAAAAAAAUCUUACAGAGAGAGAGAGAGACAGAGACAGAGACAGAGACAGAGACAGAGACAGAGAGUAACUUGAAACUUCCAUUGCUUGGUCCUUUCAUGUGAUGGUCCUAUCUUUCUGUGCUUAUUUUCUGUUUUACAAAUCUGAAUGAUUAUGACUUCGGGUUUUAAAUUAUUUGGUUGAAUAUAGAUACACAUUUGUGAUAAUGUCACAGGAUUUUUAUUUUAGGGGAUACUUAAGUUAUGUGACACAUUAUGAGAGUUGAAAAUAAAGGGGGUUGCAGAAGUUUGGAUAUUUCUGACUACAAACUCUGGGGUGAAGAUUAACAUGGAAAAUGUACCAGGGAAUGCUCAUGAGAUUUGAACCUGUGUAGUGGAAGGGAAGGAGGAAAGACUGGCACAGAAAAAAGUCAGGUUGGGAUGGAGUCUCAAUGUCUUAGCCAAUUCACAGGGCUGUAAAGCUGGGACAACUGUCCACAGCUGCUCCUUUAUACUUCUGCACUGACCAGUCAUUGGAUGUGAGGUGCCCCACAAAGGGAGCCUAUUGCUGGAUGAGACAGCUCUGUUUAGCAGAGAGGUACUUCUAGAGAGGGAUGACAGCUGAAGGCUGUCAGCAGCAGCCCACAGCAACUGUGGGAAUAAAUACUGCUUUCCUGGAGAGAGGCUUUCCUGUAGAGAGACUUUCCAGUACAUUACAGAAUUCACUACAGGGGACUUGUUCCUCCUCUCUUGUCUUAUACUUAUGUUCCCUAGUACAAAGUAGCCACAAUUCUAUGUGGUUUUUUUCUUUUUCACUCUUGUCAGAGACAUAUAGCCAGCCAUGGCUAGGCCAUCUCAAUUUUUUGUUUGUUUGUUUCAGCUUGGUUCCCUGAGCAGCUGUAGCUGCAGCUUCAAUUUUCACAGCAGCUUAUCUUUCACCUUUGGUUUGAAAUUGAGAAAGACCAAUGUGCCUCAGUGGAGAAAUUUCACCUGCUCUGAUUCUUAGACCAGGGAGGUGCAAACCAUAACUUGUCAAUGGGCAAUGUGUGGGAUCUGAAUUGGUUUCCACUAAUUUUUUCCAAUCUGUUUGCUAGGUGAAAAUGGAUGAGGGUUGUUUUUCUGUUUCCUGCUUGUAAAGAAUGUUAAUGUGGAUCUAUAUAUUUUCCUUGCCGAGCCUAAGAAGGCCUCACUAAAUAAUAUUCUUUUCCACCCAUCAAUCUGUGUUAGGAAGAUGUAUGGCUGGUAUCUAAGGCGCUGUCAGUGUGUUAUUUUCCAUGUUCCUCUCACAUGUCAAAUAUAAAAAUACAGCCUGUCAGUGUAAGUGUGAUAUGGGAUAUUGUUCACAGAGACUGUGAAAAAUCCUGCAGCACUUCCUGAUUCAUCAUUUCAACAGCCUAAUCAUUUCAGAACCCAGUCUAAACAAAAUAGUUAAGGGCAUUCUGACUUAGGGGGUAUGAAAUCACAAUUGAUUUAGAAAUGACUAAAAAAUCCCCCAAAAGAAAAAAAUGUUUUGGAGAAGAGAACAGAAACCUUGUUUUCCUCUCCAAUUUCAUAGUUUCUAAUCUUUCGUAAGGUUGUUUAUCAGUUAAUUAUUCUGCACUGCACGCUGAACCCUGACAUUUUGCCAAAGUGGCCAGGAGGCCUCGUUAAGUCAGAAUUUCUACUUUCUGCUCACCUGUCACAGCUAAAAGCUCCCUCAAAUGCAUUGACAUCGAUUAAUAUUUAAUGAUUGAAUAGUAAAAAUAUAGGCUCAGCACUUUUUACUUUUUUCUCUUUAAAUAAGGAUAAAAGGCAUCAGAACGGACCCUGCUUCAUACACACUCAGUUCUAGAUUUUUUACAAUGAGAAAUUUAUAUUGGUGGCAAGAAAGAAAUAAAUGACAAUGUGUGCUUCUACAGAAGGUUAGACUGUAACGCAGAGAGAACUAACUUGAUGGACACCUGGUCUGCGUGGGGCGCUGUGUUAAGUAAUUUCAUAUUACAGUAAUACCUUGGUUCAGGAAAGGUUCCUUUCUUCAGCAAUUCGGUUGGCAAAAUUUUGCUUCCAUUUGAGAAUCCCAUGUUGGGUGAUGAACAUAACCAUGGCCAGCUUCCCCAGUAUUGUGGAAUGCAUUAAGUUCCACUGUAUUUAAUGCAGCACUUCUACCAGACAGAUGCCACUAUUUGCAUUUUACAAAUGAAGAAACAGGCUCAGAGAAGUUAAACAGCUUGUCUGAAGUCACAGGCACAAAAGGCUCAAUCAGGAUUAGUCUCCAGUUGUUUGUCUCUAUGGUCCUCGCUGCAUUCUUGGGACAUGGCGAACCCGAGCCCUGUUGAACUUGUGUCUACUUUGAGUGAAUCAAUUAUUUUGUAUCUUUGUGCUUCAGUUUUCCAAUCUGAUAAUUAAGAUGUAAACCAGGCCUUGAAUUCUAGUUUAGACUCUUAUAAGACACAAGAUUCUGAAGAAAGCUAUGAGUUUACUUGUUCAAGAGUAAAAACCAGAGCAAUUGAAGAGAAGGCAAUAAUCAAAGAAAUCUCUUAAGUAACAAGCAACUUCCCUCAUCAUACAAAGGCUUAAGUACCCAGAACAUAAAGAUUCACUGUACUGCAGAAAAAAAAUCAAAGAGAAGAAAAUCAUACUUGAACACAGGAGGUCAAAAUGUUUGAAUUAGAAAAAUAAAAAUAAGUCCUACAUUCACUCAAGAUGAAAGAAAAAUGUUGCCUACAAAACCCUGACCUAAAACUUUCUGUAAUAGCAAAUGCCAGAAUUUGAGAAAAAUCUUUGUUUUUUUGGAAAAAAAGUUUGUAACCCAAGAAUUUAUAAAACGGUUCAGAUUACAAACCAUUUCAUUUAUGACAGCACUAGAAAAACUUUCACCAUCAUUCAAAGAUUCACACACUACUCACUUAUGUCAACCUUUUUAUUAUUUAAGUAGUAUAUAAAACAUACAGUACACAUCCACGAAAUAAAAAUAGUGAAGAAAAAGAAGAAUUCUAGGCACUGUACUGAUUAAGUCACACUUCAUAUCUCAAAAUCAAUAAUAAAUUGAAUUUUGUGAUUUGAAGCCUAGAGGGGUUGUAUUGGUCAGCAAUUGCUGGGAAAAAAUACUAAACACUCACAAAUUAAAGGAGGAUAGGUUUACUUUGGCUCAUAGUUUCAGAGGUUUCAGUCCAUGGUCAGCUUGCUCCAUGGCAGAACAUCAUGGCAGAAUAUCAUGGCAGAAGGCUGUGGCAGAGGAAAAUUGCUCAAAUCAUGGCAUGUGGAAAGCAGAGAGGAGGAAAAAAGUCCAAGAAGAAGGGGCUGGGGCCAGGUAUGGUCCCUAAAGUCGCAACCCCAUAACCCACUUCCUCCAAAUAGGGUCCACCUCCUAAAAGCACAUUCAGCUAUGGUUAACUCAUUGAUGAGGUUAGUGCCCUCAAAAUCUAGGAGUCUCUUAAUCCAGUCAAGUUGACAAUCAAGGUUAACUAACAUGGGCAUUAUGUGCAGUACACAGGAUACUCUUCUCUAUGAAUACUUUCUUAACCAUGGAUAACCUGUGUACGUUAUUGAUUUAAAGAACCUGAAGAAUGACUAAAUAAAGGAUUUGUUUUUGUUCUACAAAUAUAAAAUUGCAAAGAGCUAUAUACUGGCCAUUUUCAAUGCCAAAGAGUUGACUUAAUGGUGUUCCACAUUUUGCAAAUAUAUAUUGAAUAACUUUAGUCAUUGAGAUUUAACCUGGAAGGAUUAUAAACAACUCAUUAGAAAAUUUUGUUAGCAAGGACCUCUUUACAGUGUCUACUUACUAUAUAUAAAACAAUGAUGGUGACUAAAACACUAUAAAGAAAAUAUACAUAAAUGUGAAUAAUAUUAACUAGGAAAUGCUGGGAUUUAAGGUCAUUUCAUGUUUUUCUUUACACUUUGCUGUCAUUUUCCACAAUUGAGCAUAUGUUACUCUUAUAAUUAGAGAAAAUUGAAUAAGAAAACCUCAUAAUAGUCAACAGUAGAAAACAGGCAAUUCACAAAAGUAGAAACCCUAUUGCCCAGUAACCAUAUGAAGAAAAUAUUGUAUCUUAUUAAUGAAGGAAAUUCAAAACAAGACCACCAUGAAAAAUCUUUUUGUACUCAUUAGAGCAGACAAUAAUUUAAGUUUGACUAUGCCUGCAGGGUGAGGGUGUGAAGUCACAGGAAGCCUCACAUCCCACUGUAAAUGUAAAUUAACACAACAACUUUGGAGAUGAAUAUGGAAAUAUCUAGAAGAGCUGACAAUGUACAUGUCAAUGAUCUGGUAAUUAUAAUUGUACAUAGCUGCAACAUUUCUUAUAAUAACAAAAAAGUGGAUACAAUAUCCAUCAACAGGAAAAUAUAGAUUAAAAAGCUUGUAGUAUAUCGUAUACUGUUGUCACCCGAAUUGAAUGUGAGCUACAUAUAAAAAUGUGGGGAAACCCUCAAAACAUAAUAUUGAGGGGGAAAAUGAAAGUUUCAAUUAUUCAUAGCAUGAUUUCAAUUUAUAAAAUUAAAAAAUAAAAUUAUAAAUAGAAACUUAAGAACAUUAAUAUGUAAAUUAAAAGGUCUAAGGAAUUAUGUAGUAAAAGCAUCUAUUUUGUCUAUGAGUUCAAACAGAGAGUAAAACUAUAAAAGCAAUCAAAGAAGCAAUAAAUUCAGAACAGUGGUUAUCUUUGAGGAGAGAAGGAAGAAACUUGACCCUGAAGAAGAGUAUUUCAAUGGUGUUGGAAGUUCUGUGAUUUUUUUCCUUGGAAAAACUUAAACUUCGGAGGUAUAGAUAUGAAUAUUUUAAUAACUGGCAAAACUGACAAUUGGUACAAUAUUAUUUGCUUCAAAAUUUUAUAGUAAAAAAUGAAAAUAAAAUGUUAGUUGCAUGUUUCUUUAUAAUAUGUAAUUAUAAAUACAAAAAUAAAAUCUGUACAAUUUUAAUGUGCUCUCUGGCUGCAAGUGAAUACAAUAUUUAUAGCAUAAAGUCUACAAGGAAACAAAAAAGAAAUCAAAUGCUGGUUGCAUCUAGAUGAUACAGAUAAUAUUUAACUUUCUUUUUAAGACAGUUCUAUAUUUCUGUAUUUUGAGAUUUUAUUAUAAGACAAUACAAUUUUUGUAACUGAAAAUAUAUAAAAUUUGAGUAAAAGUGCAGAUUUGGACCAUACUGUGGAGGGACUUGAAUGUCCUUCUGUGUCUUUAGCUUUGUAACACGUACUUCCCAAACUCUGUGUUGUAGAGCAUUAGUUACGCUUCGGAUAUUAAGGUGUAUUCUUGGGAGAAAGAGGUUCUAGGUUGAAUAUAUUUCAGAAUUUUUAUGCUUUCUGCUUGUAACAUAAUGAGCCUUUAAAUUGGCACAUUAAAGGCUCUGACAAGUUCUGUAGUACUUUUUAUACAGCUUCUCAUUAAUUGGUAUUUAGCAUUCAGAAAUAUGAUUAAGUCUAAAUUUCAGAGAAUAAUUCCAGUCUCCAGGGGGAAGAAACAUGAAUGAUCUUGAAUAUUUUGAAAUAAUGUGGCUUAAAACUAGAUCAAAUAACCUGUCACUUUUUACAAACUUCAACAUUCUUAUUCCAAAAUGGUUUGGUGCCUUUUGUAGUCUACAUUUAAUACUCAUAAAACCAUAUUACAUAGUUUUGUCAAUUGUCAGCUCCACAUAUUAACUGUGUCAAUAUGAUAUAUAGCCUACUCUUCCUACUUGGAGGUACACAGUGUUUUCCUUGUUCUAAAAAGUGACAAGAAAACGUUUUGAGUUUUUAUUUACUGGCCAGAAAGCUUUUAAAAACACAAGGCUUUUGGCCAGUUGUAUUGCAGGAGAAGCUGUAAAAUCAGUCAAUGACUAGCAGCAAACAGAGAAGGGGCUGGGCUGUGGCACUUAUGAAAAAGCCAAAAUCUGUACAAGAUACUUGGUUCUUAUAAGUACCUUGCCCCUUCUCACUGUCACAAGCUCAGUGACCUCAGAGUCACCAUGCUGGCUCUAGGGGCAGGAAUCUGAAAUCCAUUCCCAUCAUGGUGUAAUUUACUGACACCAGCUCUUAUUUUAAAUAUCAGAGGGAAGUCUAAAAUAAACAGAGAAUAAUGAGAAUGGUAGGUUCAGAAGCAUUUUGGAAGGAGACCACUGUCUCAUUGAUGUAACAUCCUAUCAGAAGGUGCCAGACGUUCUACCUUCAGAGACAAGAGUGUAUUUCAAAUGGGUAGUGUUAUGCUCAAAGUAUAAUACAAAAAAAAAGAGAGAAAAGAAAGAUACCUGAGACAAGGUGUUCUAGAUUUGUAAUAUGUCACUUCUAUGGAAUAUGGGCCUAUUAUUUUUAAAAGUCUAACUAAAUAAAAUCAAAUUUUAUAGAAUGUAAGAGGCAUGAAGACUUGGGAUACGGAAUAUCAAUAUCACCAAUAUUCAACUUCAAACCUAGUGAGCCUCUACCUGAUUAGUGAGGCCUAAAAUUUCUUCCAGGUACCAGUAGCCAUACUAAAUUGUUUAUUGCUCUCCAACCGAUAUCCAGCCCCAGAUUGGUAAUUAUUAACAAUGAUGAUGAUGACUAUCAUUUACAUAAAAUGGUCUUAAAAGCUAUGAUGGUUAAUUUUAUAUAUCUAAUUAACUAGGUGACAGGAUGACUAUAGCUAGUAAAACAUUAUUUUGGGGUAUAUCUGAGCACUUCUGGGAGAGAGUGACAUUUGAAUCUGUGGACUGAAUGAAGAAGGUUGUCCUCUUCAGGGAAGGUGGAUAAUCAUCCAUUGAGGGCCUAUAUAGAACAUAAAAGGGGAGAAAGGGUGAAUUAGCCUUCUUAGUUUGAGCUAAGAUAUUAAUCUAUCCUUGUCCUUGGAUACUCAGGGCUCCUGGUUCUUUGGCCUUCAGAUUUGGACCAGGACUUACACCAGUGGCCCCCUGGUUCUUGAGUCUUCAGAGUUAUUCUGACACUUCUAUUAUUAGCUCCUCUGGUUCUUAAGCUUUGGGGAUUGGAUUGUAAUUAUACCACCAGUUUUCACAAGCUUCUGGCUUGCAGACUGUAGAUUAAGGAUUUCUAGGGUGCAUAAUCAUGUAAGCCAAUCUCUCAUAAUUUAUUUAUUUAUAUAUACUGUCUAUACUGUCUAUACACUAUUCUAUUUUCCUGGAGAAAAUAUAAUAACCCAUUACCAUAUUUUUUUUUUAAGUUAUCUAGUUUCUUUCAUUGACCAGAGGGAUGGAUUGCAGAAGGUUGCUUUACCUUUUUAGGUCUCAGUUCCACUCAUAAAUAAAUGGCUUCUACAAAAUUUUUGUGCUUUUACUAUGCAUAAGCCUUUGCUACAUACUGUAGAAAAUGCCAUCCCAAGAGUUUUUUUUUUUUUUUAUAAUUGCACAAGAGAUUUAUUAGGUAGGCUACAGGAUCAGAAGUGGAAGAGACUAAGUGGUUAUCUUGGGAUCAGAAGCAGAAGAAUCUAAAAUAGCCAUUUGAGUGCUGGAGAGCUGAAGGAUCCAGUGGCAGUCAAAAGUUGAAAGCCUAGAAGCUCACUAUGAAAUCACCAGAGUGAGUCUGUGUUAGAGGGCAGAAAAGUCCUGCACAGGAAUGCUGUAGAUUCUACGCUGAAAGGCUGAAGGAACUGGAGACCAGCAUCCAAAGGUAAUGGGGAAGACCAGAGCUCCUCCAAAAGGGAAGGCUUCCUUCUUUUUUCUGUUUUUAUUCUGUCCAGGACACAAGCCAAUGGUUGGUACCAUCUACAUCUGGGGUAGGUCUUCCCCUCUCAGUUUGCAGGCCUACAGGUCAGUUAUUCACACAUAUACCCAGUAUUUACUAAUCUGAGAGGCAGUUCUUACUCAAGUCAAGUUGACACAUCAUAAUUAAUGAUAACACAUGUAAUAUGUAGCAUCUUUUUAAAUGCUUACUUACCAUUUGUACUUCGGUGAGGCGGUCAUUUCUUUGUCCUACUUCAAAUUAUCACUUUUAAUUGUGCAGUUAAAAAGUAAGAUAUUUCUUUACAUAUUUGUGUGUUUCACAUUUAGAGCUAAUCAUGAAGCUAUAUAUUACCAUACAAAAAGAAUUUAAGUCUAACAUACGUUAAUAAUUAAAGCCCCUGCUCUGGAAUUCUAAGACUCUGACUUUUACCUUGAUCUCCAUAGAUCCACAAAGAAUAAAUAUAAAAUUAUCUUUAUUUCUAAAUUUUCCUACUUAUUCACUACUCAACAAUAGCAAUUACUUAACUAUGCAUUUUUUUUCCAGUAACACAGAGCAAUUUUAGUUUGCAAAAAAUUUAACUUUUUCUGGGUUAAACUGAGACAUGUUUAUAAGCAAAAUGUUAAAAUGGAUAUGUCUUUGUAAAUGAAAAAUGAUCAUGAAACAUGUAUUUGUAAACCAAGGAAUAAGUACAGAUAGCAUUUAAAUAUACAGAAGUAUCAGAGGUGAUCAAUCCUCCAACAGCCUAGAAAGGGCUAAAGAAAAAAAGACAAGAGAUUUGCAUAAUUUCAAAGUAUAUGGAGGGCCAGGAAGUCAGUGCCUCAGAGUUGGCAAAGACCAGGACUUCCUGAGCUAGCCACUAUCUAACAGGUACAAAGCAAUAAUUGAAGGGAGCAUUGGGUGACUUGGGAGCAGUGGUAAUCCUAUGUCCAUGCAGAUCUUAUGCUGAUGAAGAUCUCAGGUUGAUGAAGGCAGUAAGAAGAGCAUUCCUACAAUAAUCAGUGGGAUGAGUUGAGCUGAUAAGGAAUUUGUCCCUCCCCAGGUGAAACCUUUCUCUUUUGUUAUUAUUACUCAGUUCUCAAAGAAUCAGGAUGUCUUCAGCUGACGAAAUCUUGCCCUUGAGUAUCAUAGUAUCAUGGGACCACUGAAGUCUUGGAUGUGUGGAAUAUUAUCUUUCUUCUCACAUGAUAGGAAGAUCCAUGAAAACAGGGUAGUUUCUAUUUUUCCCACCAAUAUAUAUUGCAGCAUCCAGUUCAGUGAAUUCCAGUGGAACUCACAGUAUUUGUUCAAAGUAAAAUUACAAAAUUACACAGUCACAAACACCACAAAUGUAUUCAAAAUCCUGAACUAUUCAAAAGAAAAUUUUUUAUUUUGUUUGGAGUGUGGAGGGGAACAAAAAAUACGAGCAGAAAGGAGAUACAAGAUUUCAUGUAAAAGGAGUUUUGGGGCUUGGGUUGGAGGCAUGGCAAAGUGCUACAAAUUGGAGGAGCAAUUUAACAAAGGCUUAAGAAAGAAGAGAAUGGAAUUAAUAUGAGAAAAAGAAAAAAUGGAAACGAAGUCUUUGUAGAUCAGGAGGGGUGGAAGGGUUGAAGGAAGGGCAGGGGCAAGGAGAAAAAAUAAGAACCAAGAUGGAUUAUGUAGAGGUGCAAUUUUCCAAUGAUGAAUGUCAUUAUAUUGUAUACCUUAAAUGUACCAAUAAAAUGAAUUUUUUAAAAAAGAUAAAGAAAAGAGAGACAUGUUUGUGAAAAUUCCCACUUGACUGUGUUGCAGGUUAUGGGUAAGAAGACGGAGAAAAGUUUGGAAAGAUAACUUGAGGACCUCACAUAGAAAGUUUUGGUUUUUCAGAUAGUAGGAUUAAACUUUACUUCCAAGAUUUUUGAGAGGUCACUAAAUAUCUCUCAGCAGACAUUUGGUAUGAAGCAAAUUGUGCUUUAAGAGAAUAACUCUGGAAUUAUAGGGAGUAUGAUCAGGACUGGAGGGAGGAAGGACAUGGCUGCCAGAGUAGCUCCUGUCAAAUAAAAUAUGGAGCUGAACAAGGUUAUUGAUAUUAGGGGACAGAAGUGAACAAAAUGUUUUGAUGAAGAACUGAUAGGUUGGAGGCACUUGGGAAAACAUCAGUUGUGGCUUAAUUUUUAAAUCUCUAAUUCCUAUAGAUGAGGGUUUGUCAACUUUAGCAAGAUUAAAAAUGUGAACUAGGGCCGGGGAUUUAGCUCAGUGGUGCCAUGCCUGCCUCGCAAGCUCAAGGUCCUGCAUUCAGUCCCCAGGACCCCCCACUCCAAAUGUGAACAGCAUAAUUCUUAGUUUGGGGAGAUGGUUCAGUACAUGUUUAAUAGUAUUUCUCACCUCUGUUCACUAGAUGCUCAUAUUGAUCUCAUUUCAGUUAUGAAAACCACACCUGCCUUAGGACAUUGACAAAUGUUUCUAAUGGAAUAAAAGUGUCCUCAGGUAAAAACCACUGCCCUAUAUAAAAUCAAUGAGUAACUAGGGUAUAAAAUGCCAAAACUCUUGGAUAAUAUCUGUUUAUAUCCUCUCUCCCUCUCACCCUUGAUUCUUCAGUGUUAAGGUAUCGCCAAAUACCCCAAAACAUGAGUGAGUUAGAAAAAAAAAAACAUUGAGAUUGAUGGGACAUGUGCAGUGUCUGUAUCUUUGUAGAAGAAAUUAAGGGGAAGACAAUAUGGAUUCUGAGGGUCCUGAGUACCAUGCCCCCCACCUCUCUAACAAGUACACAAUGGAAAAUGGGGCUGAACUAGGUACGAGAUUUUCAGAAUCUAAAUCAUGGUUGAGAGAAAGGGAUUGUAUUAGAUGAUAUCUAAUACAGAGUAUUUAUAGGGCCCAGAGUAGUCUGGGCCCUAUAAACCGCUGAUAGCAUCAAGCCAAAUUCCUUUCCAGGAGAAACUGUUAAAAACAGAUUCCAAAUUAAGCAGAACAGGAACAAACAGGACAAAAAAUAUCCAGAUGAAAAAGGAGUAAGUAGGUGGAAGGAGGUCUCAUAAAACAAAAGAUGGCAUAUUUUUAAAUUACUUUGAGGGAAAAAUAACAGAAGAGAGAAUUCUAGGGUCAUGAGUCUAGAGAAGUUAUUUUGGCCUCUCCUCCCUCCUAAAAGUGCAUGAAAAUUCAUUUAGUUACGUAUGAGCAAAGGCAAAAGUAUGCAGUCUAAUAAAGACAACAAGAAGCAGAAAAAAUUCCCCAUGACUUGAGAGGCACAUGGAAAGCCAUGCUCAAAAAAUAAUGAAAACUGAAACCUUCUAUUUCAAAAUGAGCUAAACAAAAGAAACCAAGCCAAUGGUAAGAGCUAUGACAACAAAUCACAAAUAGAAAAAUUUAAAAAAAUAGAGUGAUUAGGAAAGAUUUAGUGAGUGCUUAUAUAAAUUAUGAAAACACUAAAAGUAAGAAAUAAUAACAUCAUUUCCUAAAGAAGUUGAGUCAAGAAGAACAUAAAAUCAAAUGAACUGAAAGGAUAAUACAUUGAAAGGAAGAACAUAGAAAGGAAGAAAAUUUUUAAAACCACACUGAUAUGAAUAAAGUCUUUAAAAAAAUAGACAAAAGGAUGAUUCAGGAGAUUUAACAUAUGUCUAGAACAGGGUCCACUGUAGGGUCCAUGGACUCCAGAGUGUGGAGAAAAAUUUUGGUGGCCUAAUGAACUUGGUUGGUGUAUUAGUCUGUCUUCUGUAUGGUGUAUUAGUCUUGCUAUAGCAGAAUACUGGAAGCUGAGUAAUUUUUAAGGAAAGAGGUUUAUUUAGCUCAUAGGUUUGGAGACUAAAAGCCCAAGGUUGGGUUGCCUCAUCUGUUUAGUCUCUGCUGAGGAUUUCUCCUUUGCUAAGUCAUAACAUGGUAAAGAAACAGAAAGGGAAUCAGCUGCAUACAGAAGGGACAAAAACAUACAAGUGGUGUCCAAAAUUUAUAACAACCCAUACUCAUGAGAACAAAGUCACUGAGGUGCACUGCCACAGGCAGUCAUGCCAAUAACUUAUUUACCUUUCACUGGGCUCCACCUCAGAGUGCUUCCAGCACCUCAGCAUCAUCACACUGGCAACCAACCUUCCAGCACAUAAAUCUCAGGGGGAUGAACCACAUCCAAUCCAUAUCAGUUGGGAAAAAUUAUUAUUAUUUUUCCACUAGCUGAAAUUUAACAUUUUAAAAAAUUAUCAGUGUAUCCAACAAAUUGUAGUGUUAAGAUUGCCUGUGACUUUAUCACCAAAAAAUCACAGAUAUUUCAAUAUGAAAUUAGAGUUCAAAAAUAUAUAUUCAAAUAUCACUUAUGUUCAUUGAUUUUUAAACAUAGUUAUUAACUAUAGUUAUAUCUCAUUAUUUAAAACCUA
RNAcentral lists this long non-coding RNA (18776 nucleotides) under Heterocephalus glaber (naked mole-rat). RNAcentral describes it as "lncRNA (ENSHGLG00100044976.1)". The record is from RNAcentral. Lineage: Eukaryota; Metazoa; Chordata; Mammalia; Rodentia; Bathyergidae.